CACGGGGGGAGCAAGCGUUGUUCGGAAUCACUGGGCGUAAAGGGCGUGUAGGCGGUCAAGUAAGUGGAAUGUGAAAGCCCCCGGCUCACCCGGGGAUCUGCAUCCCAAACUGCUUGGCUUGAGUACGGGAGAGGAUAGGGGAAUUCCUGGUGUAGCGGUGAAAUGCGUAGAUAUCAGGAGGAACACCGGUGGCGAAGGCGCCUAUCUGGCCCGAUACUGACGCUGAGGCGCGAAAGCUAGGGGAGCGAAUGGG
This 253-nucleotide ribosomal RNA is filed under the name uncultured bacterium. RNAcentral's name for it is "partial 16S ribosomal RNA". It matches the Rfam family "Bacterial small subunit ribosomal RNA", at positions 524 to 776 of the family's 1533-position model. The record is from RNAcentral.